UUAAUUGAAGAGUUUGAUCAUGGCUCAGAUUGAACGCUGGCGGCAGGCCUAACACAUGCAAGUCGAACGGUAACAGGGAGCAGCUUGCUGCUCUGCUGACGAGUGGCGGACGGGUGAGUAAUGUCUGGGAAACUGCCUGAUGGAGGGGGAUAACUACUGGAAACGGUAGCUAAUACCGCAUAACGUCUACGGACCAAAGUGGGGGACCUU
This 210-nucleotide ribosomal RNA is filed under the name Cronobacter sakazakii. Its description in RNAcentral is "partial 16S ribosomal RNA". It matches the Rfam family "Bacterial small subunit ribosomal RNA", at positions 1 to 211 of the family's 1533-position model. The record is from RNAcentral. Lineage: Bacteria; Pseudomonadati; Pseudomonadota; Gammaproteobacteria; Enterobacterales; Enterobacteriaceae.